RNAcentral lists this ribosomal RNA (263 nucleotides) under uncultured archaeon. RNAcentral describes it as "partial 16S ribosomal RNA". It matches the Rfam family "Archaeal small subunit ribosomal RNA", at positions 748 to 1009 of the family's 1478-position model. The record is from RNAcentral.
UAGCCGUAAACGAUACUCGCUAGGUGUCGGCCACGGUGCGACCGUUGUCGGUGCCGUAGGGAAGCCGUGAAGCGAGCCACCUGGGAAGUACGGCCGCAAGGCUGAAACUUAAAGGAAUUGGCGGGGGAGGCACCACAACGGGUGGAGCUUGCGGUUUAAUUUGGAUUCAACGCCGGAAAUCUUACCGGGACCGACAGCAACAUGAAGGCCAAGCUGAAGACUUUGCCGGAUUAGCUGAGAGGAGGUGCAUGGCGUAGUCGUGU